This 484-nucleotide ribosomal RNA is filed under the name uncultured bacterium. RNAcentral's name for it is "partial 16S ribosomal RNA". It matches the Rfam family "Bacterial small subunit ribosomal RNA", at positions 30 to 507 of the family's 1533-position model. The record is from RNAcentral.
AUUGAACGCUGGCGGCAUGCCUAACACAUGCAAGUCGAGCGGAUGAAUCGUGCUGACUCCUUGAUUCCGCUGCGGACGAGGGAGUAAGGCCUAGUAAGCUGCCUGGUAGUAAGGUAUAACUUCCGGGAACGGGCGCUAAUGCCGCAUACGUCCUUAGGGAGUAAGUGUUUAUUCUUCGUACCUCACGCGAUCAGAUGACCCUACGUCGGAUUAGCUAGUUGGUGGGGUAAAGGCCUACCAAGGCGACGAGCCGUAACUGGUCUGAGAGGAUGAUCAGUCACACUGGAACUGAGACACGGUCCAGACUCCUACGGGAGGCAGCAGUAGGGAAUAUUCGGCAAUGGGCGAAAGCCUGACCCAGCAAUGCCGCGUGUGUGAAGAAGGUUUUCGGAUUGUAAAGCACUUUAAGUUGGGAGGAAGGGGAGCAAGAGAAACUGUUGCUGUCUUGACGUUACCAAACGAAUAAGCCACGGCUAACUUCGUG